AUUGAACGCUGGCGGCAUGCCUUACACAUGCAAGUCGAACGGUAACAGGUCUUCGGAUGCUGACGAGUGGCGAACGGGCGAGUAAUACAUCGGAACGUGCCUAGUAGUGGGGGAUAACUACUCGAAAGAGUGGCUAAUACCGCAUGAGAUCUACGGAUGAAAGCAGGGGAUCGCAAGACCUUGUGCUACUAGAGCGGCCGAUGGCAGAUUAGGUAGUUGGUGGGAUAAAAGCUUACCAAGCCGACGAUCUGUAGCUCGUCUGAGAGGACGUUCAGCCACACUGGGACUGAGAAACGGCCCAGACUCCUACGGGAGGCAGCAGUGGGGAAUUUUGGACAAUGGGCGCAAGCCUGAUCCAGCAAUGCCGCGUGCAGGAUGAAGGCCUUCGGGUUGUAAACUGCUUUUGUACGGAACGAAAAGCCCCGGGUUAAUACCCUGGGGUCAUGACGGUACCGUAAGAAUAAGCACCGGCUAACUACGUGCCAGCCGCCGCCGUAA
RNAcentral lists this ribosomal RNA (498 nucleotides) under uncultured bacterium. Its description in RNAcentral is "partial 16S ribosomal RNA". It matches the Rfam family "Bacterial small subunit ribosomal RNA", at positions 30 to 523 of the family's 1533-position model. The record is from RNAcentral.